Long non-coding RNA from Carassius auratus (goldfish), 448 nucleotides. RefSeq lists it as uncharacterized. The transcript is spliced from 3 exons. Lineage: Eukaryota; Metazoa; Chordata; Actinopteri; Cypriniformes; Cyprinidae. The record is from RefSeq and is a predicted model, not a curated record.
AUUUUAUAUCUUACAUUAACAAAUCUAUCUUCCAGAAGUUAACAAUCCUCACACAUCUGGUACUGGUGACACACAACAUGUUGUCUGGAGUGCCUCAGAGUUUGCUGAUUCCUCUGAAAGUGAUGAAGAGUAUAAUGACGUGGGAAGCAUUACAGUAUGAUUAAAUUAUGCUGUUGCAACUUCGUGGUGUUACCUUUGCUUUUGCUAUUUUACAACGGUUGCUUUUUGUGGUCUUUUUUAGCCUGUCUUUUUAAGUUUCUGGUUUAAUCUGUUUGUAAUCUGUUUAUUGUCACUAUUGUUGGUUUUUGUUUUAUGACACGGACCUACUGACUGAUUGUUGACUAUCCCUUUAGUCACUUUUUUCAUGUAAACAUUACUGUAAAUUAUCUUUCAAGACUGGACAUUAACUCCCAGCAUUCAUACAAAAAUACAAUAUACAUACUGUUAA